CACUCCGGUAGCCUAGUGAUAUAGCGUCUGCCUUGGAUGCGAUAGGUCGCGGGUUCGAACCCCAGCCGAGUCA
Molecule: non-coding RNA, 73 nt
Organism: Potamilus streckersoni
Lineage: Eukaryota; Metazoa; Mollusca; Bivalvia; Unionida; Unionidae
Source: the annotation of a GenBank genome assembly